GUGCUGCAUGGCUGUCGUCAGCUCGUGUCGUGAGAUGUCGGUUAAGUCCGCUAACGAGCGCAACCCUCGCUGUGUGUUAUAUGUGUCACACGGGACUGCCGGUCUUAAGCCGGAGGAAGGUGGGGAUGAUGUCAAGUCAGCAUGGCCUUUAUAUCCUGGGCUACACACACGCUACAAUGGUCGGUACAAUAGGUUGCCAAGCCGCGAGGCGGAGCCAAUCCACAAAGCCGGCCUCAGUUCAGAUUGUAGGCUGCAACUCGCCUGCAUGAAGAUGGAGUUGCUAGUAACCGCAGGUCAGCAAUACUGCGGUGAAUACGUUCCCGGGUCUU
Molecule: ribosomal RNA, 329 nt
Filed under: uncultured Anaerolineaceae bacterium
Lineage: Bacteria; Bacillati; Chloroflexota; Anaerolineae; Anaerolineales; Anaerolineaceae
Description: bacterial SSU rRNA
Rfam family: Bacterial small subunit ribosomal RNA
Source: RNAcentral